RNAcentral lists this ribosomal RNA (417 nucleotides) under uncultured bacterium. RNAcentral's name for it is "bacterial SSU rRNA". It matches the Rfam family "Bacterial small subunit ribosomal RNA", at positions 355 to 772 of the family's 1533-position model. The record is from RNAcentral.
UGGGGAAUCUUGCGCAAUGGGCGAAAGCCUGACGCAGCGACGCCGCGUGGGGGAGGAAGGUUUUCGGAUCGUAAACCCCUGUUGCCCGGGACGAAUCCCUGGUUUAGACCAGGUUGACGGUACCGGGUGAGGAAGCACCGGCUAACUCCGUGCCAGCAGCCGCGGUAAUACGGAGGGUGCGAGCGUUGUCCGGAAUCACUGGGCGUAAAGGGCGCGUAGGUGGCUUGGUAAGCGUGUGGUGAAAGCUCGGGGCUCAACCCCGAGUCGGCCAUGCGAACUGCCGAGCUUGAGCACUGUAGAGGCAGACGGAAUUCCGGGUGUAGCGGUGGAGUGCGUAGAGAUCCGGAAGAACACCGGUGGCGAAGGCGGUCUGCUGGGCAGUUGCUGACACUGAGGCGCGACAGCGUGGGGAGCAAA